CAGAAAAGCUGGAGGAAGUGUCGGAGGAGAGCGAAGUCUCGGUGUCCCUGCUUAGACUGCUCCCCCCGCGACCCGGCCCCGGAUAAGCAGUAGAAAAUGGAUGGAUGAAUGGAUAAAAUGGAGAAAAUGGCUCGUGAAUUCCAGAAUGGUGUUGGCAAGAAGCUACACGAGGAGCUUGUGGCUCUGGACAAAAUGAACAAGCACACCAGCUAUAUUUCAGGUAAGAAGGUUCAAGCUACUGGCAGUACGGGCAGACCGUAGCUACUUACGAGUCGUGCAGUACGGCAGCUUUCAAACAUGGCCGCACAGAGACCAUCCGGCCUGCCAGUAUACACACAAAGCACUGUGCCCAAGCCUUUGUUCAACAGCCUGGUCAGCAGAGUGUGGAGCAGCUCACAGGUCUACUGCAUGCCUGCUCCAAAUAUCAUGGGCAGCUCACAAAGGAGGCAGCCAUGGGACAAGGUUUUGACUGGCAUCUUUUUGCCUUACGCAAAUUCUAAAGGAAUGCCUAUGCCAAGUCACUCACUAGCACAGCUGUCAAUUUAGGUGGCUUUGCCCCAGUAGUCCCAGACGGUUUUGGAGUGGGCUACGGUGUCCAUAAAGACAGGAUCAGUUGCAAUGUUUCCAGCUACCCUGCCAGGAACGUCCACAAAUUUCUCAGAUGUGUUCACAAGUCUCUGGAGGACAUUUUUACUGUUCUUGAAGGAAAGCCAAUUAAAUCCAGCUAAUCUAAAUACUAAUGUGCUUCAGGGGAAUGAGAAUGGGUUUUGAGGAAUCAUUUAAAGGUUAAUGUUUAUAUUAACAAUUCUUUGUCUGCAGUUGUUUGAGUAGAUCAGAUCUUUUCAGAAAUCUGAUCAGAAAUUUAUACACUUUAAAUUGGUAAGUACUUUAAGUUCACAUUAUUUAAAAAUAUUGCUAAUUUAAAAGUGAAAUCAAUGAUUUGGUUCGAAUACCUCAAAAUGUGUCUUGGUGGAGAUUAGGUUAAUUGUCAAUAUUUUACCCCACCUGGAGUAAAAUAAGUUAAAGUUAAAUAAAAAAAAAAAAGUUAACUUUCAGCUGCUACUUUUGCUUUAGCAAGAGCAUUGAGAACCUGUUUAACUGAGCAAGAUAUUUGUGCAUUUAAAGUAGUGACAUUUUUUCAUCUUUUCAUAAAACACUUGAUUCAUACUAUUGAAAUAGACAACGUUUUAUUUAAAAAAGAAAAACAGCAGACAAGCCAGAAGUUACUGUACAAAAUGCUGAAAGAGAAACAAACUAAAUGAACAGUGUGUAGAAACUGUCGAAAUUAGAUCGGCUUGAUUUUAAAGUGGAGGCCGAUGAGACUGAAGACGAGACACUUGAGAUCCUGUACCAGGUAGUAGAACACACGGAGGCCUUCUGGAUCCCUGAGAGGGAAGACAAUGAUGAUUAAAUUAGUACUGCAUAAUGUUUAGUUCAUUCAAAUAAUUAGGAAAACUCGAAGGCUAAAAGUUUACAUGGGUCUUCAAGUUUCCAAGGUGUUACUCAUGUAACCCUUCAAUCACAUUCAAAUCUAUAGACAUGGUCUUUCAUGUAGUAAUUCAUUUCAUUGUGUAUGAUCCCACUUAAUUUAUUAACAGUGAUGUGUAUGCGUAGUUAAUUAAUGUGCCAGGAUUUGAAUCCAAAAAUCUUUUUUGCAUGCUUAUGCCCCAUUUUGUGCAUUAUGAAGUAAGCUGUUUCCUUUUAAUGUAUGUAUGUAUGUAGCUGCAGCUUAGGCAUUCCCAGUUUACAUGAAAAGCAACACCAUUCACACCGGGUGUCACUGUGCUCAGUUCAACCAUUCAGUUCUGUCUCAAUUUUUUUUUUUUAAAUAUAAGCAUGCAUAUAUCUACAGACUAUUAUAAACAAACAUGCUUUGUCACAAGGAUAUUAGUGUGAUCCCAAAGUUCAUUCAGGUUAAUGCUUGAACUGGUGCUUCUAUAUUAAGUCUAUGUGCUGAUAUAAUACUUCUGAAAAAGAUGUGCAUUAAAUUCUGUAUUUCAUUUCUUUUCUUUAUAUAGCAUCUGCCAAACAAACUUAUGUGCCACCACUGUCAGGGGAGAAUGUUAAAUAGUUUUAAUUGUGGGAAAAUCCUACUUGAUUAAGCUACUUUGAAUACAAAUUCUAGCAGUUAACCAAAUACCAACACAUUAACUCCUAUGGAUGCAGAAGUUAUUGUGGGCUCAGACAAUAGAAGAUAUAUGGAGUAUUAUAUGAGUAUUACUAAAGAUUUUUUUUUAGCAAAAAAUAUAUUUUAUGUUCAGUAGAAUUGUUCAUCUCAAAUUGUUGAGAUGUGUUAACUGAAGUGUCUGCAGUUACCAACAGUGGUACGCUAUACUCACUUAGACUGGUUGACAUCAAUCAGAGACCCAAUUUUGGAGGUUGUGAAUGAAAUAUGUUCGUCACCGAUGACAAUCUCCAGUUCCUAAAUGA
Tachysurus fulvidraco (yellow catfish) is the source of this 2430-nucleotide long non-coding RNA. RefSeq lists it as uncharacterized. The transcript has 2 exons. Lineage: Eukaryota; Metazoa; Chordata; Actinopteri; Siluriformes; Bagridae. The record is from RefSeq and is a predicted model, not a curated record.